GAUUAGAUACCCUAUUAUUUAUUUUUUAAAUAUAAAUACUCGGGUAGUAAUAGAUAUGUUCUUGAAACUUAAAAAAUUUGGCGGUAUUUUAGUCUAUUCAGAGGAACCUGUUUUAUAAUCGAUAGUCCACGUUGAACCUUACUUAAAUUUGUUUUUCAAUUUGUAUACCGUCGUUAUUAGAAUAUUUUAUAAGAAUAAUAAUUUUCAAUAAAUUUAAUUAUAUUUAAUGUCAGAUCAAGGUGCAGUUUAUAUUUAAGUAAUAAUGGGUUACAAUAAAUAUAUUUAAAUGGAUAAAAUAAUGAAAAAAUUUUUAAAAGUGGAUUUGAUAGUAAAAUUAUAAAGAUUAAUAAUUUGAUUUUAGCUCUAAAAUAUGUACACAUCGGCCGUCGCUCUUAUUAUUAGAAUAAGAUAAGUCGUAACAUAGUAGAUGUACUGGAAAGUGUAUCUAGAAUG
Molecule: ribosomal RNA, 453 nt
Filed under: Lonchoptera uniseta
Lineage: Eukaryota; Metazoa; Arthropoda; Insecta; Diptera; Lonchopteridae
Description: partial 12S ribosomal RNA
Source: RNAcentral